RNAcentral lists this long non-coding RNA (3755 nucleotides) under Panax ginseng (ginseng). RNAcentral describes it as "long non-coding RNA (PGIN_LNC013520)". The record is from RNAcentral. Lineage: Eukaryota; Viridiplantae; Streptophyta; Magnoliopsida; Apiales; Araliaceae.
AAUCAUUCAUUAUCUUUACAAUUAACCAUUUAAAAUUACCACAGUUCUUCAAUCAAAGUAUAUAUCUACAUAUAUAGAGAGAGUACACUUCAUAAUUUUGUCUCUUGUCUUCCGUAAACGUAGCACGAAAAUUUGAUACCUAGUAUUGUAAGGCAGGUCGUAGAAGCAGUCUUCCUGCACAUAUUUAAAAAUCAUAGCAAGUCAAAAAAAUGAAGCAAAUAGAUCACCAGAGGCACUUAGUGCCAAAAUAAUACACAAAGACAAUAGAGUUGCUACGUGAUACUAAUGUACAUCGUAUUGCUCAUAAACAAAAAAAAACAAUUAGAAAUCUAUAUCAAACAGUUUCACGAUUCAAACUUGGAAAUAAAAAUUGCAAUGCUGAAGGAACUAUAAAUUAGAAAUGAUACCUCAGAGUCUCUUGAUCCAAGUAAACUUCUGUCAUUAAUGUUAGCAGAUCCAAUUAAGGACGUACAGUCAUCAAUUAUCAUGACCUUACUAUGAACAUUGCAGUAAAAAAAAGAGAAGGUUGUUGGUUGUGACAUAUGCACGUAGUAGAAGCUAGACUUUCAAUACAUUUUAUAUUUUAAGAAUAUAUGUAAAUUUGUUAAUCUUUAACAGCAGUUGCCGAUUAAUAUGAGCGAAAGCUUUGAAACCCUACACUUCCAUGAUAUGUGCACUACCACUGUUGGGUUUGUGUUCCAGCAACAUUUUCUAUGAUAUUUUAAAAUUUAUAUCAUGUUACAUUAUUCAUAUAAAAUGCUCAAAAAAAUAUAAAAUUAAAUAACAUACAUCAGUGUUUCGACUCUGUUGAACUAAUUCCUGAGAUAUACAGUAUUUUAAAGAGAGGGAAAAACAUUAAAUAAUCUUUGCCACAAUACCCAACAGAUACAAAAAACAUUUGUCUUCCUUUUACAGGAGGGAGUAAAAGAGGUACCUUGAGUGAUUCUACUUGUGAUAAUGAGUUGGCAAGCAUUGCAGCCCUGGAAUAUGUUCUGCAUUAUAUUAUCUUACAGUUAAAAAGAAAAUAAUCAAUUUUCUCAAACACUAUGUUUCUGUUUUCUAGGAGGAUUCAUCCCAAAAUUAACAUCAGUUUAUAAACCUUUUUGCCUUAGAAAAGCAACGGGUCAACAAACAUUCUCACUCUAAAAUGCAGUAAAAUUAUUACAAGACCAUCUUUUUCAGAAGUAAAAUUAGUUCCUCUAUAUUUUCCACAAAAUAAUGAUGUAUCAAUAGAAACACAAUAAGCUCACAAUAAUGAGAAAUCAUUUCAGGUAGUUUCGCACUUUCUGCGACAAAAAACUCAUAAAGCUUAAGACACUAUGUUUCUGAAGAAGGAAAAUCAGCAGUAACUAAUUGCAUUGUGUAGCGAAAUUGAACGAUCCAUCCCACAUCUAUUCAUCACCUUAGCAGCGCACACCUGUGUAGACGAGCCCAAUAAGUAUGUUGGACCACCUCCUUACCUAAAAGGUUAACCUAUUAGGUUGAUGUUCUACCAUACUUAUUAAGCCAUCUACACUCUUGAAUUUAACCGAUGUGGGAUUCAUGUGAAAUCCCAACAAUCUCCACCUUUCACUUGAAUACCCAUCACAAGUAUCAUACUAGAGUAUCUUAUCAUUAAGCACACCUUCUUUGAAUCCUUCAAGAGCUCUCUACUCGACUCUAAUACUACUCCCAGCAGUUUUUCCUAGAGCCAUCCCGAGCCAUGCUCCACCCGAUUCAAAUACUUUUUGAGUCCUUCAAGAGCCUUGCUUGACUCUAAUAUUACUCCACCACGUCCUGGGUGUCUCACCACGUCCUGGGUGUCUCAGCAAUUUCCCUAGAGCCUUCCCUAAGCCCGCUCCACCCGACUCAAAUCAUCCCGUGCUCCACCUGACACGAGGCCCCCGUGCUCCACCUGACACGAGGCCGUGCUCCACCUGAUUCAACUCUAUUUACUCCACCCACGAGGCCUGCGAAUUGUACCUCUCGCGCACCCCCUCGCACCUUGAAGUUGAUACUUGGACUCCCACCGAACCAUGGGCUUUGAUACCACUUGUAGGGAAAUUGUACGAUCCAUCCCACAUCUAUUCAUCACCUUAGCAGCGCACACCUGUGUAGACGAGUCCAAUAAGUAUGUUUGGACCACCUCCUUACCUAAAAGGUUAACCUAUUAGGUUGAUGUUCUACCAUACUUAUUAAGCCAUCUACACUCUUGAAUUUAACCGACGUGGGAUUCAUGUGAAAUCCCAACACAUUGCAUGUCAAAAGCCAAAAAGAAGAAGUUGAAGCUUGUAACUAGAAGGACAAAUGAUAAUUUGAAAGCCUACCAAGUGAUGACUGGACAAAAGAAGUACAUUUCUACCCAAGGUAGAUCAUAUUGAUACUAUGAAGCCAUUCAUGAGCAGACUAAAAUGGUUCUAAUACAACAAAGGAGGCAAACGAGGUUCCUAAGAAAUACGUCAAGCAAGUACCAUGAACUGGAAUUAUACAGUUUCAUUAAGAAGAUGCAUAAAACUUCUGAAACUUGCAAAAGAUUUAAUACCAAUAUAUGAUUAUUUCUUUCUGAUAGAAACAUAUAUGUUUUCUUGACAGAAACAGAAAUAUGGCAAUAUGGGAUAUCUUGGUAAGACAUCCAACAGAUGUAAGGAGGUGGGAGACUCCAAAUGACAAUAAGCUCGGAAGAUUAGCUCUCUUUCUUUUCGCCACUAGCUUCUGAUAGCAAUGGUUCAAGUUCCCCUUUACGGUAUAGCUUAACAGUAUCUGCACCAUGAAUUAAAAUCAAAACUUUUUCACUAGUUCUUUCACAUCCAGCUUCAAUAAUUUUGAUAGCCAUGCAAUCAUCUAGGAGUAAUUGAGUUAAAUGGCAAGCACUAUACCAAAUACUUGUAAUAAUCCAUGAAAUAAAUAAAAAUAACAAGAAGAGAACUUCUGGAAGUAUCACAAUAUUAAUAUUAUAGUGAGAAAAUUAAGUGUAGCAUCUCAAAAUAGAAAACUCUAAUAAAUUGAGGAUGAAACAAAAAACAGAAGGAAAAAAAAGGAAUAAAAACAUAAUACCAUACUUAAACGACAGUGUAUAAGAUAGUACUUGUACAACCUCCAAUGUGUUUUGCCCCUGGUCAUGAAAAAGACAGAAACUUUCAGCACUUUUAUUUUUAUAGAUAAAAUCUGAAAUACCAUUCCUUUGAAAGAAUUCUCUCCCAUAAACUUUUACAGUGAAACAAACAACAUAGCUACUUAAAAAUGAAGGGAAGAGAUCAAAGAAGCCAGGUACAAUAUUUCCAAGGACAUAUUAUGAUGACCAUAUAUAAGAUGAUAUAGUAGUGCAUACAGAAUGCACUGCUCUUUCGAUAAUAAGAUAAGAGAAUAAGAUAAGCUUUGAAACCCUACACUUCCAUGAUAUCUUAAAUUGAUAAUAAGAUAAGAGAAUAAGAUGAUAUAGUAGUGCGUACAGAAUUGAUAAAGUCAUUGUUAAAAUCGUUUGGAGAGAGAGAACUGAAACUCAAUCGCUUAGAUGCGCCACUUAUCUGGAUAUUGGGCUGCCGAAAAUGUUUCUCAGAGGAGUCGGAGUUAAGGUCGAGGGAAUCCCUAAUAUACAGAGAGCCGCACAGAUCUGUGUUGAAUAGAGAGAGGCGCAGAUCUAUUCUAGGUUAGGCUUCUCUUUUUGGAACAUAAUAGAAGAAUGGCAGGGAAGUUUAAUCGCUUAGUGUAAUAUUUGAUGGCUUAAUAAAAGUCCAUCUCCUGCUUGGAGUCUAUGACUCAGCACUUACAACUUAUUA